UCCGUAGGCGGUGCGGCAAGUCGGAAGUGAAAUCUCUGGGCUUAACUCAGAGGCUGCUUCCGAAACUGCCGUGCUCGAGUGUGAGAGAGGCGAGUGGAAUUACGGGUGUAGCGGUGAAAUGCGUAGAUAUCCGUAGGAACAUCCGAGGCGAAAGCGGCUCGCUGGAUCACAACUGACGCUGAGGGACGAAAGCUAGGGGAGCAAACAGGAUUAGAUACCCUGGUAGUCCUAGCCCUAAACCAUCAGGACUUGGGGUUUGCCCUGUACGGGGCAAGUCCCGGAGCUAACGCGUUAAGUCCUGCGCCUGGGGAUACGGCCGCAAGGCUGAA
Molecule: ribosomal RNA, 329 nt
Filed under: uncultured bacterium
Lineage: Bacteria
Description: bacterial SSU rRNA
Rfam family: Bacterial small subunit ribosomal RNA
Source: RNAcentral